UUCAUUUCCACGAUUGCUUUGUUCAGGUAAUCAAUUUUUAACUUUUUAAAUUUCUAUACUCACUAUUGUAGUCCGAUUAAUAACUACCCUUUAGUUAUCUUUGAUAUAGUGAUAUUUGAUUGGAGGCAGAAUUUAAAAGUGAUAUUUUCAUUUUAUGUCGGCAUUGUUGAUUGAUAAUGGAGCUUAAGAAAAAAUAAGAUUGUCUCAACACAUGCUAAAGUACUCUAGAACUUGUGAUUAUGUUCUUUAGAUAAAGUUGAUGAAGAGUUUCUAGAUAUAAAACAUGUCAUUCUUUUUAAUAUAUAUAUUAAUAUGCCCAGUAAUAUCUUACGCGUAUGAACUGGGACGCAAAUCUUAUUCUUACCUUAUCCAGAUAGAGAGAUUGCUUUCUAACAUAAAUAUAUCUAAAAAAAGAUCGCAUUAUGUUACUUCAAAGUAGAUUAAGUGUAAUUUUAAUGUUGAUGGAUAUGGUAAUUAAUGCAGGGAUGUGAUAGUUCAGUGUUGCUAGAUGGAUCAGCAGGAGGGCCAAGUGAGCAAACUGCAAUUCCUAAUUUGACCCUAAGAAAGAAGUCAUUCAAGAUCAUUGAUGAUCUUAGGAAAAGGGUUCACGAUGCAUGUGGGAAAGUAGUGUCUUGCUCUGACAUUACAGCCAUUGCUGCUAGGGACUCCGUUGUCUUGGUAAGACCAAAAUUACCAUUUAGUCCUUGUUGCUUGGUUUAGAUCGUGUUACUUUACUAUGCAGAAACAUUUCAUUUUCAUACCAAAACUAUAUGUUUUGAAAUAUCAUAAUUAGAUAUGAAGUUCAUUUAUAGAAAAAGAUUUAUUUUUUUUUCCCUGAAUUUGGGACAGGAUAAAGGUGAGAAAAUGUCAGGUCAAAUUUUUAAAGAUUGUGAAGGCGUCAUGAAUGAGUAGUUGGUUUAUAUAUUUAAGAACUCGGGCCCCCCUCAUCUUCAAAUUUAUACUUGUCAAAUCUUUCACUCUCUCGUCUCUUUCGUAUCCUUGUUUUAAAAACUUAACAAGUUUCUAGAUUUACUUUAUUUUAAUAAAAAUUGUGACUUUUAUAUUGUCAUAAGUUAGACUUAUUUUUAUUUGCUUAUGAGCUUGUGGUCGUUUCAGACUGGUGGGCCCUACUAUAAUGUACCUUUAGGAAGAAAGGACGGGCUCAACUUUGCAACAGAACAAGCAACCUUAGACAACCUUGUUGCACCAUUUGCCAACACCACAGUCGUCCUCAGUCGCCUUGCAACCAAGGGUUUAGACGCCACCGACGCCAGUAUGGAAUUAACCCCUACUGCAUGCCAACACCACAGUCAUCCUCAGUCGCCUUGCAACCAAGGGUUUAGACGCCACCGACGCCGUCGCAUUAUCCGGUGCCCACACCAUCGGAAUCAGCCACUGCACUUCCUUCACUGACCGUCUCUUCCCUAACCAAGACCC
Molecule: long non-coding RNA, 1437 nt
Filed under: Nicotiana benthamiana
Lineage: Eukaryota; Viridiplantae; Streptophyta; Magnoliopsida; Solanales; Solanaceae
Description: long non-coding RNA (NBEN_LNC015404)
Source: RNAcentral